GCCAGGCCCCUCCUGGCCUUUUUCAAUGUAUCAAUGACCUCGAAUCAGAUGAGAAUACCCGCUGAACUUAAGCAUAUCAAUAAGCGGAGGAAAAGAAACUAACAAGGAUUCCCUCAGUAACGGCGAGUGAAGAGGGAAGAGCUCAGUUUUGAAAUCUGGCAGUGAUUCACUGUCCGAGUUGUAAAUUGAAGAGAAUGUCAUCCACGCUGGACCACGUCUAAAUUGUAAUGAUCCACAGUCCUUUGAUGGAGUAUCAGAGAGGGUAAUAAUCCCGUCUUUAACGUGGACUGCCAGUGUUUCUGUGAUGCACUCUCUCAGAGUCGAGUAGUUUGGGAAUGCUGCUCUAAUGGGAGGUAAACUCCUUCUAAAGCUAAAUAUUGGCGAGAGACCGAUAGCGAACAAGUCACCGUGAGGGAAAGAUGAAAAGAAC
Molecule: ribosomal RNA, 430 nt
Filed under: uncultured Cantharellaceae
Lineage: Eukaryota; Fungi; Basidiomycota; Agaricomycetes; Cantharellales; Hydnaceae
Description: eukaryotic LSU rRNA
Rfam family: Eukaryotic large subunit ribosomal RNA
Source: RNAcentral